Molecule: unclassified non-coding RNA, 168 nt
Filed under: rhizosphere metagenome
Description: partial ribosomal RNA internal transcribed spacer region
Source: RNAcentral
GUAGGUGAACCUGCGGAAGGAUCAUUAACAAGUCCGCUGCGUGCGCAAUAUUCUUUGCGUGCGCACAUCCGUUCCAUGUACAGUCCGCUGUGCAUGACAUUUCUGCAAAUCUCUGAUUGUCACAAUUACAACGAAUACAAACUUUUAACAAUGGAUCUCUAGGCUCUU